RNAcentral lists this ribosomal RNA (732 nucleotides) under uncultured Campylobacter sp. RNAcentral's name for it is "bacterial SSU rRNA". It matches the Rfam family "Bacterial small subunit ribosomal RNA", at positions 28 to 776 of the family's 1533-position model. The record is from RNAcentral. Lineage: Bacteria; Pseudomonadati; Campylobacterota; Epsilonproteobacteria; Campylobacterales; Campylobacteraceae.
AGUGAACGCUGGCGGCGUGCCUAAUACAUGCAAGUCGAACGAUGAAGUCCUAGCUUGCUAGGAUGGAUUAGUGGCGCACGGGUGAGUAAUAUAUAGUUAAUCUGCCCUACACAGAGGAACAACAGUUGGAAACGGCUGCUAAUACCUCAUACUCCUAUUUAACAUAAGUUAAAUAGGGAAAGUCUUUUCGGUGUAGGAUGAGACUAUAUCGUAUCAGCUAGUUGGUAAGGUAAUGGCUUACCAAGGCUAUGACGCGUAACUGGUCUGAGAGGAUGAUCAGUCACAUUGGAACUGAGACACGGUCCAAACUCCUACGGGAGGCAGCAGUAAGGAAUAUUGCGCAAUGGGGGAAACCCUGACGCAGCAACGCCGCGUGGAGGAUGACACUUUUCGGAGCGUAAACUCCUUUUAUCAGGAAAGAAUAAUGACGGUACCUGAUGAAUAAGCACCGGCUAACUCCGUGCCAGCAGCCGCGGUAAUACGGGGGGUGCAAGCGUUACUCGGAAUCACUGGGCGUAAAGGACGCGUAGGCGGAUUAUCAAGUCUUUUGUGAAAUCUAGUGGCUUAACCACUAAACUGCUUAGGAAACUGAUAGUCUAGAGUAGGGGAGAGGUAGAUGGAAUUCUUGGUGUAGGGGUAAAAUCCGUAGAGAUCAAGAAGAAUACCCAUUGCGAAAGCGAUCUGCUGGAACCUAACUGACGCUGAGGCGUGAAAGCGUGGGUAGCAAGCAGG